Molecule: ribosomal RNA, 1433 nt
Filed under: uncultured bacterium
Lineage: Bacteria
Description: bacterial SSU rRNA
Rfam family: Bacterial small subunit ribosomal RNA
Source: RNAcentral
AGAGUUUGAUCCUGGCUCAGAACGUACGCUGGCGGCACGCCUAACACAUGCAAGUCGAACGAAGUAGCAAUACUUAGUGGCAGACGGGUGAGUAACAUGUAGGUAUCUGCCCUUUGGCCUGGAAUAACACGAGGAAACUUGUGCUAAUACCGGAUAAGUCUUUACGGAGAAAGCUUUAUGCACCAUUGGAUGAGCCUGCACUUGAUUAGUUUGUUGGUGGGGUAAUGGCCUACCAAGACUGUGAUCAAUAGCUGAUUUGAGAGGAUGAUCAGCCACAUUGGGACUGAGACACGGCCCAAACUCCUACGGGAGGCAGCAGUGGGGAAUCUUGCACAAUGGAGGAAACUCUGAUGCAGCGAUGCCGCGUGAGUGAAGAAGGCCCUUGGGUUGUAAAGCUCUUUCGUCGGGGAAGAAAAUGACUGUACCCGAAUAAGAAGGUCCGGCUAACUUCGUGCCAGCAGCCGCGGUAAUACGAAGGGACCUAGCGUAGUUCGGAAUUACUGGGCUUAAAGAGUUCGUAGGUGGUUGAAAAAGUUAGUGGUGAAAUCCCAGAGCUUAACUCUGGAACUGCCAUUAAAACUUUUCAGCUAGAGUAUGAUAGAGGAAAGCAGAAUUUCUAGUGUAGAGGUGAAAUUCGUAGAUAUUAGAAAGAAUACCAAUUGCGAAGGCAGCUUUCUGGAUCAUUACUGACACUGAGGAACGAAAGCAUGGGUAGCGAAGAGGAUUAGAUACCCUCGUAGUCCAUGCCGUAAACGAUGUGUGUUAGACGUUGGAAAUUUAUUUUCAGUGUCGCAGGGAAACCGAUAAACACACCGCCUGGGGAGUACGACCGCAAGGUUAAAACUCAAAUGAAUUGACGGGGACCCGCACAAGUAGUGGAGCAUGUGGUUUAAUUCGAAGAUACGCGCAGAACCUUACCAACACUUGACAUGUUCGUCGCGACUCUAAGAGAUUAGAGUUUUCGGUUCGGCCGGACGAAACACAGGUGCUGCAUGGCUGUCGUCAGCUCGUGUCGUGAGAUGUUGGGUUAAGUCCCGCAACGAGCGCAACCCUCACUUUUAGUUGCCAUCAUUAAGUUGGGCACUCUGAAAGAACUGCCAGUGAUAAGCUGGAGGAAGGUGGGGAUGACGUCAAGUCCUCAUGGCCCUUACGUGUUGGGCUACACACGUGCUACAAUGGUAUCUACAACAGGAAGCAAGACUGCGAAGUUAAGCAAAUCCCUAAAAGAUACCUCAGUUCGGAUUGCACUCUGCAACUCGAGUGCAUGAAGCUGGAAUUACUAGUAAUCGUGGAUCAGCGUGCCACGGUGAAUGCGUUCCCGGGUCUUGUACACACCGCCCGUCACACCAUGGGAGUUGGUUCUACCUUAAGGCAAGGUUUCAAACCCUUGACCACGGUAUAGUCAGCGACUGGGGUGAAGUCGUAACAAGGUA